UACGUAGGGGGCGAGCGUUAUCCGGAUUUAUUGGGCGUAAAGCGUGUGUAGGCGGUUUGUUAAGUCUAAAAUAAAAGCCUGGGGCUUAACCCCAGUUCGUUUUAGAAACUGGCAGACUUGAGUGUGGUAGAGGCAAGUGGAAUUUCUAGUGUAGCGGUUAAAUGCGUAGAUAUUAGAAGGAACACCAGUGGCGAAGGCGGCUUGCUGGGCCAUUACUGACGCUGAGACACGAAAGCGUGG
RNAcentral lists this ribosomal RNA (240 nucleotides) under uncultured bacterium. Its description in RNAcentral is "partial 16S ribosomal RNA". It matches the Rfam family "Bacterial small subunit ribosomal RNA", at positions 524 to 764 of the family's 1533-position model. The record is from RNAcentral.